Mastomys coucha (southern multimammate mouse) is the source of this 835-nucleotide long non-coding RNA. RefSeq lists it as uncharacterized. NCBI's taxonomy places the organism in Eukaryota, Metazoa, Chordata, Mammalia, Rodentia, Muridae. The record is from RefSeq and is a predicted model, not a curated record. The transcript is spliced from 5 exons.
UACCAUGGUCACCAUUCUGGUCUCCCCGACAACCCCCUCCCAUUCUUAGAGCUUCUUUCCUGUCUGACUCAGAGGUCCCGGUGAGGGAGGUCAAGUGCUGUGUGGUUAGGACCCAUGGCUAUGAACUUGCAGGAAAAUGUGACCUUGGCCAUGGCCGUGUUCACCAUCCUAGCCUCCAUCUACUUCUUCAACAAGGCACAGCAGUAAGAAGGCAUGGCACCCCAGUCCACCAGCUUGGCCCCCACCUGCUCUACCAUUGCGCUGGCCUCUGAGAUCCAAUAAAUGUAACAGUAUCAGACCAAGGCUCCCUGCUCCCUAACAAACUCCUAUUCAACCGCUAUCACCUGCCAUCAAAUCCCUUUCUGAUAGAAGUGUCCAGAACCCCAAAAUAGAGGGGAUCUGUUAGCAGCGCACUCCAUCACCUUCCUGCCUCCUCCAACCUCCCCAAGCGAAUGCCCUGAGGGACACAUCUGCCCAAGAAAAUUCAUUUGUAUGCUCUGGGUCUUCGGGACAAGGACUAGAAAUUUCCAAUCACCAAUAGAUUUGUAAAUCCGUUUAGUUCAGAUCCGUGCAAUUUUAGUGGGUUACAAGCAAAUUGAAACCAAACUGAGCUAGCGGUCGCGCCCUCUGUUGAUCAGAGCCAGUAGCAGCACCCUUUGUCCUCAAUGCAAGGACUCCUUGUACGCAAAACCAGAAAUAGCCGCAUGGUGGCGAUGUCGGACUAUUUUCUCAGAUUCUAAAUGGCAACAGGGAUUGAAUUGGCAGGCGACCGAGCUUCCUGCCUGAGCUCUCUCCCAGGUAUUUCAGGCAUCCACCUCCUGGAACCACAAGGCCC